GCCUGCGACCAUACCACGUAGAAUGCUCCCGAUCCCGUUCGAUCUCGGAAGAUAAGCUGCGUCGGGUCCGGUUAGUAUGGGCCCGGUUAGUCGGGCC
RNAcentral lists this ribosomal RNA (97 nucleotides) under Hypsibius dujardini. Lineage: Eukaryota; Metazoa; Tardigrada; Eutardigrada; Parachela; Hypsibiidae. The record is from RNAcentral.